ACUCUUGGAGUAUAUAUCCUGAGAAAUAGUUAUCAUCCUUUCCAACAGCGGAGUUCAAAUGUCAGCCUGGGCGUUUCCAGUGUGGUACAGGCCUUUGUGCUCUUCCUCCAUUCAUCUGUGAUGGAGAGAAUGACUGUGGUGACAACUCAGAUGAAGCUAACUGUGAGACAUAUAUCUGUCUGUCAGGCCAGUUCAAGUGCACCAGGAAACAGAAAUGCAUCCCUCUUAACCUGCGCUGCAACAGUCAGGACGACUGUGGAGACGGAGAGGACGAGACAGACUGCCCUGAAAGCACCUGCUCCCCUGACCAGUUCCAGUGCAAGGCCUCCAUGCACUGCAUCUCCAAACUAUGGGUUUGUGAUGAGGACCCUGACUGUGCAGACGGGUCAGACGAAGCUAAUUGUGGUGAGUUGUGGAAACCCACUAAACCAUAAAUGACUUCACUUCAUUUUUAGUUAAA
This 460-nucleotide long non-coding RNA is filed under the name Cottoperca gobio. Its description in RNAcentral is "lncRNA (ENSCGOG00000002597.1)". The record is from RNAcentral. Lineage: Eukaryota; Metazoa; Chordata; Actinopteri; Perciformes; Bovichtidae.